UGGGGAAUCUUGCACAAUGGGGGCAACCCUGAUGCAGCGACGCCGCGUGAGCGAUGAAGCCCUUCGGGGCGUAAAGCUCUUUCGACCGGAACGAUAAUGACGGUACCGGGAGAUGAAGCUGCGGCUAACUACGUGCCAGCAGCCGCGGUAAUACGUAGGCAGCAAGCGUUGUUCGGAGUUACUGGGCGUAAGGAGUGCGUAGGCGGUUUUCUAAGUUCGGUGUGAAAUCUCCCGGCUUAACUGGGAGGGUGCGCCGAAGACUGGGAAGCUGGAGUGUGGGAAAGGCAGGCGGAAUUCCUGGUGUAGCGGUGAAAUGCGUAGAUAUCAGGAGGAACACCGGCGGUGUAGACGGCUUGCUAGACCAUAACUGACGCUGAGGCACGAAAGCGUGGGUAGCAAACA
RNAcentral lists this ribosomal RNA (402 nucleotides) under uncultured bacterium. RNAcentral's name for it is "bacterial SSU rRNA". It matches the Rfam family "Bacterial small subunit ribosomal RNA", at positions 355 to 774 of the family's 1533-position model. The record is from RNAcentral.